AUGUCGUCCUCGAGCGCCGCCAACUCCACCCUCUCUGGCCAGAUCACAGAGCGUGUCACCCGAACCAACUACGUCUUAUGGCGUACCCAGAUCACGCCACAGCUUCGGGGGGCAGGGUUCUUCGGCUACGUGGACGGCAGCAUGCCGGAGCCGGCCAAGGUCGUCGUCAGCAAGGAUAAGUAUGGCAAGGAGGAGACCAUCCCCAAUCCGCUUCACUCGGUUUGGAUCCGAGAGGAUCAGCAGGUGCUUGGUUACCUUCUAAAUAACCUCUCCAAAGAAGUGCUUAUGCAGGUGACCUCGAUCGCCCGCGUGCACGAACUCUGGACAGUGUUGGCGAGCAUGUUCUCGUCCACAUCGUUGUCUCGCGUCAACAACAUCCGCGCGUCGCUCACGAGCGCAGAAGGGACAGCAGUCGGUGGCCUCCUACUUCGCAUACAUGCGGGGUUUUGCCGACGAGCUCGCCGCGGCAGGCAAGCCCCUGCAAGAUGA
RNAcentral lists this ribosomal RNA (489 nucleotides) under Triticum aestivum (bread wheat). RNAcentral's name for it is "partial small subunit ribosomal RNA". The record is from RNAcentral. Lineage: Eukaryota; Viridiplantae; Streptophyta; Magnoliopsida; Poales; Poaceae.